AUUGAACGCUGGCGGCAGGCCUAACACAUGCAAGUCGAACGGUAACAGGAAGCAGCUUGGCUGCUUCGCUGACGAGUGGCGGACGGGUGAGUAAUGUCUGGGAAGCUGCCUGAUGGAGGGGAUAACUACUGGAAACGGUAGCUAAUACCGCAUAAUGUCGCAAGACCAAAAGAGGGGGACCCUUCGGGCCUCUUGCCAUCGGAUGUGCCCAGAUGGGAUUAGCUUGUUGGUGGGUAACGGCUCACCAAGGCGACGAUCCCUAGCUGGUCUGAGAGGAUGACCAGCCACACUGGAACUGAGACACGGUCCAGACUCCUACGGGAGCAGCAGUGGGGGAAUAUUGCACAAU
RNAcentral lists this ribosomal RNA (349 nucleotides) under uncultured bacterium. Its description in RNAcentral is "bacterial SSU rRNA". It matches the Rfam family "Bacterial small subunit ribosomal RNA", at positions 30 to 372 of the family's 1533-position model. The record is from RNAcentral.